This 570-nucleotide ribosomal RNA is filed under the name uncultured diatom. RNAcentral describes it as "SSU rRNA". It matches the Rfam family "Eukaryotic small subunit ribosomal RNA", at positions 493 to 1064 of the family's 1831-position model. Lineage: Eukaryota; Bacillariophyta. The record is from RNAcentral.
UCUUUAGGUCUGGCAAUUGGAAUGAGAACAAUUUAAACCCCUUAUCGAGUAUCAAUUGGAGGGCAAGUCUGGUGCCAGCAGCCGCGGUAAUUCCAGCUCCAAUAGCGUAUAUUAAAGUUGUUGCAGUUAAAAAGCUCGUAGUUGGAUUUGUGGUGUGUCCAGUCGGCCUCUGCUCUUUGAGUGGUUGUGCUGUACUGGUCUGCCAUGUUUGGGUGGAAUCUGUGUGGCAUUAAGUUGUCGUGCAGGGGAUGCCCAUCGUUUACUGUGAAAAAAUUAGAGUGUUCAAAGCAGGCUUAUGCCGUUGAAUAUAUUAGCAUGGAAUAAUGAUAUAGGACCUUGGUACUAUUUUGUUGGUUUACGCACUAAGGUAAUGAUUAAGAGGGACGGUUGGGGGUAUUUGUAUUCCAUUGUCAGAGGUGAAAUUCUUGGAUUUUUGGAAGACAAGCUACUGCGAAAGCAUUUACCAAGGAUGUUUUCAUUAAUCAAGAACGAAAGUUAGGGGAUCGAAGAUGAUUAGAUACCAUCGUAGUCUUAACCAUAAACUAUGCCGACAAAGGAUUGGUGGAGUCU